Molecule: ribosomal RNA, 739 nt
Filed under: bacterium IMCC11329
Lineage: Bacteria
Description: bacterial SSU rRNA
Rfam family: Bacterial small subunit ribosomal RNA
Source: RNAcentral
GACGACGCUGCGCGUGCCUAUACAUGCAAGUCGAGCGGACCGAUGGGAGCUUGCUCUAUUAGGUUAGCCGGCGGACGGGUGAGUAACACGUGGGCAACCUGCCCUGCAGACUGGGAUAACUUCGGGAAACCGGAGCUAAUACCGGAUAACACCGAAAACCGCAUGGUUUUCGGUUGAAAGGCGGCUAUUAGCUGUCACUGCAGGAUGGGCCCGCGGCGCAUUAGCUAGUUGGUGAGGUAACGGCUCACCAAGGCGACGAUGCGUAGCCGACCUGAGAGGGUGACCGGCCACACUGGGACUGAGACACGGCCCAGACUCCUACGGGAGGCAGCAGUAGGGAAUCUUCCGCAAUGGACGAAAGUCUGACGGAGCAACGCCGCGUGAGCGAAGAAGGUCUUCGGAUCGUAAAGCUCUGUUGUCAGGGAAGAACAAGUACCGUUCGAACAGGGCGGUACCUUGACGGUACCUGACGAGGAAGCCACGGCUAACUACGUGCCAGCAGCCGCGGUAAUACGUAGGUGGCAAGCGUUGUCCGGAAUUAUUGGGCGUAAAAGCGCGCGCAGGCGGUUCCUUAAGUCUGAUGUGAAAUCUCGCGGCUCAACCGCGAGCGGCCAUUGGAAACUGGGGAACUUGAGUGCAGGAGAGGGGAGCGGAAUUCCACGUGUAGCGGUGAAAUGCGUAGAGAUGUGGAGGAAUACCAGUGCGAAGGCGGCUCUCUGGCCAGUAACCUGACGCUGAG